UACAGAGGGUGCGAGCGUUAAUCGGAAUUAUUGGGCGUAAAGCGCGCGCAGGUGGUUCCUUAAGUCUGAUGUGAAAGCCCACGGCUCAACCGUGGAGGGUCAUUGGAAACUGGGGAACUUGAGUGCAGAAGAGGAAAGUGGAAUUCCAAGUGUAGCGGUGAAAUGCGUAGAGAUUUGGAGGAACACCAGUGGCGAAGGCGACUUUCUGGUCUGUAACUGACACUGAGGCGCGAAAGCGUGGGGAGCAAACAGG
This 253-nucleotide ribosomal RNA is filed under the name uncultured bacterium. RNAcentral's name for it is "partial 16S ribosomal RNA". It matches the Rfam family "Bacterial small subunit ribosomal RNA", at positions 524 to 776 of the family's 1533-position model. The record is from RNAcentral.